This 406-nucleotide ribosomal RNA is filed under the name uncultured bacterium. Its description in RNAcentral is "partial 16S ribosomal RNA". It matches the Rfam family "Bacterial small subunit ribosomal RNA", at positions 30 to 526 of the family's 1533-position model. The record is from RNAcentral.
AUUGAACGCUGGCGGCAGGCUUAACACAUGCAAGUCGAGCGAGCGGCGGACGGGUGAGUAAUGUCUGGGAAACUGCCUGAUGGAGGGGGAUAACUACUGGAAACGGUAGCUAAUACCGCCUACCAUAAGAUGUGCUCAGAUGGGAGUGGCUAGUAGGUGGGGUAAGGGCUCACCUUGGCGACGAUCCCUAGCUGGUCUGAGAGGUUGACCAGCAACACUGGAACUGAGACACGGGACAGACUCCUACGGGAGGCAGCAGUGGGGAAUAUUGCACAAUGGGCGCAAGCCUGAUGCAGCCAUGCCGCGUGUGUGAAGAAGGCCUUCGGGUUGUAAAGCACUUUCAGCGAGGAGGCGUUACUCGCAGAAGAAGCACCGGCUAACUCCGUGCCAGCCGCCGCGGUAAUUC